RNAcentral lists this ribosomal RNA (497 nucleotides) under uncultured bacterium. Its description in RNAcentral is "partial 16S ribosomal RNA". It matches the Rfam family "Bacterial small subunit ribosomal RNA", at positions 28 to 507 of the family's 1533-position model. The record is from RNAcentral.
GAUGAACGCUGGCGGCGUGCCUAAUACAUGCAAGUCGAGCGAACGGACGAUAAGCUUGCUUCUCUGAUGUUAGCGCCGGACGGGUUAGUAACACGUUGAUCACCUACCUAUUCUACUGUGAUUCCUUCGGGAAACCGCAGCUAAUACCUGAUAAUAUUUUUAACCGCCUGGUUCAAAAUUGAAGCACUGUCUUCCUGUCACUUAUCUAUGUAUCCGCGCUGCAUUAGCUAGUUGGUAAGGUAACGGCGUAACAAGGCAACAAUGCAUAGCCGACCUGAGCGGGUGAUAGGCCACACAGGCACAGAGACACGGUCAAGACGUCUACGGGAGGAAGCAGGAGGGAAGCAUACGAAAUUGGCGAAAGCGUGAAGGAGCAAAGCAGCAAGAGUGAGGAAGGGAUGAGGAUCGUAAAACUCUGUUAUUAGGGAAGAACAGAUGAGUAAGUAACUGGGCACAUCAUGACGGUACCUAAUCAGAAAGCCACGGCUAACUACGUG